RNAcentral lists this ribosomal RNA (390 nucleotides) under uncultured bacterium. RNAcentral's name for it is "bacterial SSU rRNA". It matches the Rfam family "Bacterial small subunit ribosomal RNA", at positions 30 to 419 of the family's 1533-position model. The record is from RNAcentral.
AUUGAACGCUGGCGGCAUGCUUUACACAUGCAAGUCGAACGGUAACAGGGAGCUUGCUCCGCUGACGAGUGGCGAACGGGUGAGUAAUGCAUCGGAACGUACCGUGUAAUGGGGGAUAACGUAGCGAAAGUUACGCUAAUACCGCAUACGCCCUGAGGGGGAAAGCGGGGGAUCGUAAGACCUCGCGUUAUACGAGCGGCCGAUGUCGGAUUAGCUAGUUGGUAGGGUAAAGGCCUACCAAGGCGACGAUCCGUGGCUGGUCUGAGAGGACGACCAGCCACACUGGAACUGAGACACGGUCCAGACUCCUACGGGAGGCAGCAGUGGGGAAUUUUGGACAAUGGGGGCGAACCCUGAUCCAGCCAUUCCGCGUGAGUGAAGAAGGCCUCG